AUUGAACGCUGGCGGCAUGCCUUACACAUGCAAGUCGAACGGCAGCACGGGAGCAAUCCUGGUGGCGAGUGGCGAACGGGUGAGUAAUAUAUCGGAACGUGCCCAGUAGUGGGGGAUAGCCCGGCGAAAGCCGGAUUAAUACCGCAUGAGACCUGAGGGUGAAAGCGGGGGAUCGCAAGACCUCGCGCUAUUGGAGCGGCCGAUAUCAGAUUAGCUAGUUGUGGGGUAAAGGCCUACCAAGGCAACGAUCUGUAGUUGGUCUGAGAGGACGACCAGCCACACUGGGACUGAGACACGGCCCAGACUCCUACGGGAGGCAGCAGUGGGGAAUUUUGGACAAUGGGCGCAAGCCUGAUCCAGCAAUGCCGCGUGCAGGAAGAAGGCC
Molecule: ribosomal RNA, 385 nt
Filed under: uncultured bacterium
Lineage: Bacteria
Description: bacterial SSU rRNA
Rfam family: Bacterial small subunit ribosomal RNA
Source: RNAcentral